RNAcentral lists this transfer RNA (77 nucleotides) under Candidatus Omnitrophota bacterium. RNAcentral's name for it is "tRNA-Arg". It matches the Rfam family "tRNA". Rfam says of the family: Transfer RNA (tRNA) molecules are approximately 80 nucleotides in length. Their secondary structure includes four short double-helical elements and three loops (D, anti-codon, and T loops). RNAcentral also lists the same sequence under 2 other names. Lineage: Bacteria; Pseudomonadati; Candidatus Omnitrophota. The record is from RNAcentral.
GCGCCUGUAGCUCAAAUGGAUAGAGCAACUGCCUUCUAAGCAGUAGGUUGGCCGUUCGAUUCGGCCCAGGCGCACCA